This 63-nucleotide transfer RNA is filed under the name Aphthona albertinae. RNAcentral's name for it is "tRNA-Trp". Lineage: Eukaryota; Metazoa; Arthropoda; Insecta; Coleoptera; Chrysomelidae. The record is from RNAcentral.
AAGGAUUUAAGUUAAAUAAACUUUUAACCUUCAAAGUUAACAAUAGAGUAACUCUAAGCCUUA